This 125-nucleotide small RNA is filed under the name Marmota monax (woodchuck). The record is from RNAcentral. Lineage: Eukaryota; Metazoa; Chordata; Mammalia; Rodentia; Sciuridae.
GCUGGGCGUGGUGGCUCUUGCCUGUAAUCCCAGCAGCUCCGGAGGCUGAGGCAGGAGGAUCACGAGUUCAAAGCCAGCCUCGGCAAAGGCAAAGUACUAAGCAACUCCGUGAGACCCUGUCUCUA